This 531-nucleotide ribosomal RNA is filed under the name uncultured fungus. Its description in RNAcentral is "eukaryotic LSU rRNA". It matches the Rfam family "Eukaryotic large subunit ribosomal RNA", at positions 86 to 632 of the family's 3401-position model. The record is from RNAcentral. Lineage: Eukaryota; Fungi.
ACUGCGAGUGAAGCGGGAAAAGCUCAAAUUUAAAAUCUGGCGGUCUUUGGCCGUCCGAGUUGUAGUCUGGAGAAGUGCUUUCCGCGCUGGACCGUGUAUAAGUCUCUUGGAACAGAGCGUCAUAGAGGGUGAGAAUCCCGUCUUUGACACGGACUACCAGUGCUUUGUGAUGCGCUCUCAAAGAGUCGAGUUGUUUGGGAAUGCAGCUCAAAAUGGGUGGUGAAUUCCAUCUAAAGCUAAAUAUUGGCGAGAGACCGAUAGCGAACAAGUACCGUGAGGGAAAGAUGAAAAGCACUUUGGAAAGAGAGUUAAACAGUACGUGAAAUUGUUAAAAGGGAAACGAUUGAAGUCAGUCGUGUUUAUUGGAUUCAGCCGGUCUUCGGUGUACUUCCUUUAAACGGGUCAACAUCAGUUUUGUUCGGUGGAUAAAGGUAUUAGGAAUGUGGCUUCUUCGGAAGUGUUAUAGCCUAGUAUUGCAUACACUGGAGGAGACUGAGGACUGCAGCUCGCCUUUAUGGCCGGGGUUCGCCC